UCUCUGUAGAUUUGCUUAUUCUGGACAUUUCAUAUCAAUGGACUCAUACACAUGUGGUCUUUUUUGACCGGCUUCCUUCACUCAGCAUGUUUUCAAGGGUCACCCGCAUGGUAGCACGGAUCAGCACUUCGCCUCUUUUUAAUGCCGUGUAACAUCCCAUUGUAUGGAUAUAUCAUUUUGUUUAUCCAUUCAUCCCUGGAUGAACAUUUUGGUUGUCUCUCCAUCUCAACUAUCGUGAAUAAUGCUGCUGCCAAUAUCCAGUAGCAAGGCUUUGUGUGGACGUAUGUUUUCAGUUUGGGGUGUAUACCUAGGGAUAGAUUUGCUGGAUCAUAUGGUCAUGCUUUGUUCUGAAGCUCAAACAUCUAAACCUCCGUCGUCUUCUUUGUUCCCAGGCGGAGAUGGUACACAGCGCUUUCCAGGCCCAGCGGGCGUUCCUUCUGAUGGCCUCACAGUUCCAACAACCCCAGGAGGUCGUGAUCCCAGCGUCCUGGAAUGGAGCCCCACAUCGGGCUCUCUGCACCACGGAGUCUGCUUCCUCCUCUCUCUCUGCCUGCCUCUCUGCCUGCUUGUGAUCUCUAUCAAAUAAAUAAAUAAAAUCUUCAAAAAAAAUAAAAGUCACUCAUUAAAUAUUGGGUGAAUGAGGACAAGUAAGCACACAAAUGAAUGCAGUG
RNAcentral lists this long non-coding RNA (671 nucleotides) under Mustela putorius furo (domestic ferret). Its description in RNAcentral is "lncRNA (ENSMPUG00000024028.1)". The record is from RNAcentral. Lineage: Eukaryota; Metazoa; Chordata; Mammalia; Carnivora; Mustelidae.